Molecule: ribosomal RNA, 496 nt
Filed under: uncultured bacterium
Lineage: Bacteria
Description: partial 16S ribosomal RNA
Rfam family: Bacterial small subunit ribosomal RNA
Source: RNAcentral
AUGAACGCUGGCAGCGUGCCUAAUACAUGCAAGUCGAGCGAACAGACGAGGAGCUUGCUCCUCUGACGUUAGCGGCGGACGGGUGAGUAACACGUGGAUAACCUACCUAUAAGACUGGGAUAACUUCGGGAAACCGGAGCUAAUACCGGAUAAUAUAUUGAACCGCAUGGUUCAAUAGUGAAAGACGGUUUUGCUGUCACUUAUAGAUGGAUCCGCGCCGCAUUAGCUAGUUGGUAAGGUAACGGCUUACCAAGGCAACGAUGCGUAGCCGACCUGAGAGGGUGAUCGGCCUCACUGGAACUGAGACACGGUCCAGACUCCUACGGGAGGCAGCAGUAGGGAAUCUUCCGCAAAGGGCGAAAGCCUGACGGAGCAACGCCGCGUGAGUGAUGAAGGUCUUCGGAUCGUAAAACUCUGUUAUUAGGGAAGAACAAAUGUGUAAGUAACUAUGCACGUCUUGACGGUACCUAAUCAGAAAGCCACGGCUAACUACGUG